Molecule: ribosomal RNA, 468 nt
Filed under: uncultured bacterium
Lineage: Bacteria
Description: partial 16S ribosomal RNA
Rfam family: Bacterial small subunit ribosomal RNA
Source: RNAcentral
GACGAACGCUGGCGGCGUGCUUAACACAUGCAAGUCGAACGGGAAGGCCCUGCUUUUGUGGGGUGCUCGAGUGGCGAACGGGUGAGUAAAACGUGAGUAACCUGCCCUUGACUUUGGGAUAACUUCAGGAAACUGGGGCUAAUACCGGAUAGGAGCUCCUGCUGCAUGGUGGGGGUUGGAAAGUUUCGGCGGUUGGGGAUGGACUCGCGGCUUAUCAGCUUGUUGGUGGGGUAGUGGCUUACCAAGGCUUUGACGGGUAGCCGGCCUGAGAGGGUGACCGGCCACAUUGGGACUGAGAUACGGCCCAGACUCCUACGGGAGGCAGCAGUGGGGAAUAUUGCACAAUGGGCGGAAGCCUGAUGCAGCAACGCCGCGUGCGGGAUGACGGCCUUCGGGUUGUAAACCGCUUUCGCCUGUGACGAAGCGUGAGUGACGGUAAUGGGUAAAGAAGCACCGGCUAACUACGUG